RNAcentral lists this transfer RNA (75 nucleotides) under Tenericutes bacterium ADurb.Bin024. RNAcentral's name for it is "tRNA-Asn". It matches the Rfam family "tRNA". From Rfam's summary of the family: Transfer RNA (tRNA) molecules are approximately 80 nucleotides in length. Lineage: Bacteria; Bacillati; Mycoplasmatota. RNAcentral also lists the same sequence under 4 other names. The record is from RNAcentral.
GCCUAGUUAGCUCAGCGGCAGAGCAAUCGGCUGUUAACCGAUCGGUCGUAGGUUCAAAUCCUACACUAGGCGCCA